This 237-nucleotide unclassified non-coding RNA is filed under the name Hevea brasiliensis (rubber tree). Lineage: Eukaryota; Viridiplantae; Streptophyta; Magnoliopsida; Malpighiales; Euphorbiaceae. The record is from RNAcentral.
UUUCGGCAAUAUAUAGGAAAAUCUAUGAUUUUGCUGCUGCUGCACUGUAACCCUCUAGCGAUUAUCAGAUUUAUGAGAUUUUAUUUUUAGUUUAUUUUAUUAUGUUUUCUCGGGAAGCAAACGGCCUUCGGGUUUAUUUACGCGGGUUGACUGUUGAGGUCCAUUAGGAAAGUUCGGUUUUGAUAAUUUUUAGUGUUAUUUGCCUUAUUUUUCAACCUUUUUUUUUUGGGCCAAAGA